GACGGCGGCCCCGGCCCCUCGGCCCCGGCUCCGGCGGCGGCCCCGGGCCACCCUGCCGCCUUGGUAGCGCCGGUCCGCACUCGGCCUGACCCGGGACGUCACGCCGCCUGUCUGUUUUCUCAAUGAUAACUUGGCAGCGGCAGGGGGAAGCGCGGCCGGGUUAUGUAUUUUAUUUUAUGGUUUUUUCCCCCUUGGGCUCGGUACCGGGUUGACGCUGGGCGCCGGGCGAGCCGAGCUGGUCAACGCCGGGUCCCACCUGGAGGAGGGAAGCACACGCCAAAAGGAAAAGAAAAAAAAGAAAGAAAAAAAAAAAAAAAAAAGGAAAAAAAAAAUCACGGAAACGGGCGGUUGGGGAGGAGGGGGAUGGGGGUGCCACCCGGAUGCGGAGGAUGGGACAGCGCAGCCCGCACAGAGCAGGGCCCUGCCAUGUCCCUGCAGGGAAUGGGACUGAUGGAAAAGGCACCCCGAGUCGGGAGGGAACGCAGGCCCGUGUGGGCUGCUCGGGGACCACCAGGAUGUUGUGUGGAGGCUGGUGGGUGCUGGGCCAGGCUGGGUGGUGGGUGACCUGCAUGUGGUGACAAGGCCUGCUGCCACCAGGUCAACCUGUGUGACUGGAUGUUGCUGUGAGCAGGGCUAGGGGUUGGCACUAGGCUUAGCUUGCUUUCCUUGGGGUUUGUGCUCUUAAAAGGAAGACCAUAGAAUCAUUGAGAUUGGAAAAGACUACUAAGAUCAUCUAAACCAACCAUUCCUGCUAACCCAUGUCCCUCAGCGUAAGUACACAUGGGGGCAGGGACCUUUUAGUUGUGUGCACUUCUUCCUGCACAGUUAUUUCCAGUGCUAGGCCUUGCUUUCAGUUAUUCACUGUGGCACGGCCCGCUGUGACCUUUCAGCCAAAGAUAGGUCAUUGCAAGCAUACACUUAAUAUCCCAACCUGCCAACUCACCACAGCACCUGCACACUGACCAAAGUGCUCAGUAAGGCCCAAUAUCAAGUGGCUCCAUCCCACACUGCAUUUUCUACUUCCUAUUCUGACAACAGCUCGCCACGUAUGUGUAGCUAGUGCGACAGUUCAUAGAGCAGCUGAAAAGCUGAAGCAGCACAGGGCUGAAACUAAAUUAUUGUUGCAGCUUCAAUUAGCAUUAAUGCUUUCAUUUUCUUCAUUUAAAUACAACAAAAGAGAAGAUUGUCUUUGCUUAAUAUUGUUACUAAUCGGGUUUUGCUCUUCCAGUUUUUUAAGAAGGUGAAGCCAGGGAGAAUUUAGCAUGUACCUUUGCUGCUGCCAGAUUUGGUACUCUGGAACAGUGCCUUAUUUUAAGUGGAAAAAGCCUUUGCUCUUUAACUGGGGGGAAAAAUAAGUCCUCAGAAUACAGUGAAGUCCAAGCAAUAUUUUAAGGAGAAUGAAAUUGAAAAAGUACUUUUUAUUUUUUAAGACGAGCUAUUCAAGCUGCUUUCUGUCUUGUCUAUAAAGACAAAUUUGCAUAGUGUUUCUGUUUCAGAAUUGUUUUGAGUGGCAUUUGGACUAAGGUUUUAUUUGUCUGAAGCAUAUUGUCUCAACAGAGCUCUGGAGAGUGCAGGGUAUGUUACUGAUAUAUUGGUCUUGGUAGACUUAAAAAGCACUUUGUGUAGCUUGAUUGUUGUCUGUAUUUUGCCAUUUAUUUUUCAGUGAGGCUCUUCUGAUUGAUGUGGGGAGUUUCUUUAAAGAGAUUUAAGUUAUGGCAUUGCUACCCAAGAUGCUCUGCGCAGUUGUUCCAUACCUCUCCUAAGAGGGAGAUUUUAGUUGCGAUUGUUAUGCUUUUAAAAGGGAAUUAGUUAAUCAAAUUGCUGGUUUUGGAAUGCAUUGAAAGGAAUAUUGAAAUGCAUUAACUUCAUUAAAAGAAGUGAGCAGAUAGGCAACAAAACAAGUAUUAGUCAAAUAAGCAUGAACUUGCCUAUGGAGCCAAAUUCAGCCCUAGUGAAAUCAACAUAGUUGUGCUUGUCUACAGCAUAUUUAAUUUGGCCUAUGCAGCUACAGAGCCAACGCUUCAUUUGGCUGUCAAAGGUGUGUAUAUUAAAAACGUAUGAGCCAUGCGUCUCCUUCGUGUGAUUAACUUCUGAAGUUAAAUGCCCAGCUUUCUAUUUAGUUCAGCUGCACAGUCCUAUCACAUAUGCAGUAUUUGCUGUGUGUAUGCACUGAGGUGCAAGGAGAUGUUCCCAUUCCAGCAUUAGCAUGGGGAUGUGAGCUAUGUCUGACAUGAGGGCAUGAUGAGGUGUGUUGCAGCAGAGGUUGCUCACAAGCAGAAGGGUUCCUGUGUGUAGGCCCCAGCUAAUGGGCUGCACUGAGAUUUUGGCCACCAUCUUUCAUUAGUGCUGUUACUCACACCAGCGAGAGUAAAGGAAAGGCUGGUACGUGUAUAAUCGCACGUUCAUUUGCUAUGUAGAUCUAUCUUAAGAGCCUCUCAACCCAGGAAAAUUCUGCUGGAAUGAGGUAGUGGAUGGAUGUGAGACAGAACCAUGUGCAGGUGGCUUGUUCAUUCUGGGAUGACGGAGCUUCUUCCUGGUUUCACUUAAUCCACUUUUAAAGUGGAUUAGGAGAAUUCAAAAAAGUGAGCUCUUACACUGGCAUGAUAUUUGUGUACAUAUGGUUUUGGUUAAGCGUAAUUACUGCAGUGUAGCUAAUAAGUGUUUCGGAAUAAUUUUGCGUGUAGACAAGUCCAAAAUCGCACACCUGAAAACAACACACUGUACAUAGUCGUUCUGUAUAACAUAAGGCUAAUUUAGCCCAACAUUUGACCUACUUCUUUCCUUGUGAGGCAUAUUUAAUUCAUUACAGGUUUUUCUUUCUUAGCAGAAACCAUACAACAGCCAUGUGCUUGUGAUCAAUUCAAGGACAGUGCUUCCAUGUGCACUCCACAAGAUAAAUAAACAAUUUACACAACGUA
Molecule: long non-coding RNA, 2918 nt
Organism: Coturnix japonica (Japanese quail)
Lineage: Eukaryota; Metazoa; Chordata; Aves; Galliformes; Phasianidae
Source: RefSeq, a predicted model, not a curated record